ACACGACUACAUUACGAUACCCGGGUAGUCCUAGCCGUUAAACGAUACUCGGCUAGGUGUCGGCCACGGUGCGACCGUUGUCGGUGCCGUAGGGAAGCCGUGAAGCGAGCCACCUGGGAAGUACGGCCGCAAGGCUGAACUUAAGGAAUUGGCGGGGGAGCACAACAAUGGGUGGAGCUUGCGGUUUAAUUGGAUUCAACGCCGGAAAUCUUACCGGGACCGACAGCAACAUGAAGGCCAAGCUGAAGACUUUGCCGGAUUAGCUG
RNAcentral lists this ribosomal RNA (266 nucleotides) under uncultured archaeon. Its description in RNAcentral is "partial 16S ribosomal RNA". It matches the Rfam family "Archaeal small subunit ribosomal RNA", at positions 717 to 982 of the family's 1478-position model. The record is from RNAcentral.